UGCAGGUGAUGAGAAGGGAAGAAAAGGAUGAGAAAACAGAAAAACAAUAGGAUUUAGAGAUGAGAAUGAUAGAAACUCUGCAAAGAGUUGUUUUGAAUCUAUAUUAUAAAAAGAAGUGUUGUCUGUCUAGCCUGUUAAAUCCGACCAUCGAUUUAAUCAUCUCAUGACACGGAUCUAUAGUUGGGCGAGGGAUAUUUUGGAGCAUUAGAUCGAGAUACAAGACAAGAAGACGUAUCCUAAUACAAUACAACUCGGCUUCUUAACGCGGAAAAAACAAUAGCUAACUGGAUUGCCGUUUAUAGAACAAAUUCCGGAUUUAACUGGAUUUCGUUAUCCGUGUUUAUGGUAUCUUUGUGCACGCUCUAUAUAAGAAGCCUUCGCCAUGUUCUUCAUUCUUCUCCGAUGUCGUUUCUCUGAAUUAAAUUGUAUUGAUUGGGAUCUGCUGAUUUUCUUCAGGUUUUUUUACAGGGUGGAUGUGGAAUCAGAAAGAUGUUCAGCUUUCUAAGGGUGGUGAAUCCAUGCAUCAAAACGAUUAGGUAAUUAUAUUAUUUAUUUAUUUAUUCGUUUGAAAUUAAUUGAUUAAUAUCAAGCAUGUCUUCUUCUUCAUCUUUUCAAGCAGCUAUCGAUGGAAACCAGAACACAAUACCAUUGUGUUUGAUUAGGGAUUCAUUUAUCCCGAGGAAAGAAGUGAGGUGUUUGAAGCAAUGGAAAGUUUUGAUUGAUUAGGAAUUAUUACUCAUUAGUUUUUUAAGCGUAUAAUUUUGAGAUUGUAUUUUAAUGAUUUUGUUAGGGUUCAAUCUGAGGAUUUGUUUUAUUUUGAUUUGGUUAUUUUUUUUUGUUUUGUUUUUUCUUGCCGGGUUUGUUGGUGUAGACAUGAUGGUCUAUUAUUAGACUAUUCAAAACAGGGUUUAAUGCUUACAUUAUUGGCAAUAUUGAUGAUUCUGUUGAAGAUCUUCGACUCGUAGUGAUGCAUUGAAACUAUGAUGAUUUUCAUCUAAGGAUUUUAUAUGAGGGACUAUCUUUGAAGCUCAAGGGUUUAUCCAUGGCGAUACCAUAGGAACAGUGAACCUUAAAUUGUACACUCAAUGUGGAUGACACAUAAGUGAUGCAUUGAAACUAUGAUGAUUUUCAUCUAAGGAUUUUAUAUGAGGGAACCAUCUUUGAAGCUCAACGGUUUAUCCAUGGCGAUACCAUAGGAACAAUGAACCUUAAAUUGUACGCGAGGCUCAAUAUCAGGACUUAACCCAAUGGUUUUAAUGAAGGUAAUCUUCUUAAUAAAGAUAUUUACAGUUCGUUGAUGAAGAGAUUUCCUGCUUCGUUGAAACCCUAUAUAUGCUAAUUCAUGAAGGUAAUUUUUUUCUCAACUUCACUUCUAGAACUUAGUAUAUUAUGUUCAUGUUCAUAAGAUAAAGGUAGUGCUGGAUUUUGGAUGCUUGAAGAUUAGUGAGAGUAAUUCCAAAAUUCUGCUUGAGUUUUGAUUGUUUGUUGUGCUUCAGAUGGACGUAAAAGUAUUAAUUAUCUGCGUUUGUACAGGUUCAAAUUUCUUCGACAGUGCCUUAUACAAGUUCUUAGUGCACUUGGCUGGAUUUCAUUGAUGAAUUUUUCUGCCUUGAUCUAUUGGCCUUCCUUUAGUUGAUGCAAGUUGAAAGCUUACCCAAGUUUUGGUAUGCACCGGCAUUGAUCUUUUAAUUGUUUAGUUUUAUUAUUUUCUUUCAGUAAUCUCCACAUUUUCAUACAAUUGUUUCUACCAUUCAAUUUCCAUCUGUAGUCUUCUCAACAGAAAAUCAUCACGGUACAUACAUUACAGAUAGAGUUCUUUGGUAAAUCAUUAAGUAGACUACUGUUUCAGCGGUCUAUGCACUAUAAGACUUAAGAUUAUGUUGUUGUGGUAAUAUGUGUGCAUCAAGCAGGGGAUCAGGGAGCACAAAAAAAAUAUGUUAGAUUAACCAUCAUGUUUACUGGUUUUGUUAUUCAACGGCUUACAAAAAGGUUUUGUUUGCACUACUCUUCAUUGAUUAGUGACCAGAAUCAGAAUCUU
Molecule: long non-coding RNA, 2038 nt
Organism: Papaver somniferum (opium poppy)
Lineage: Eukaryota; Viridiplantae; Streptophyta; Magnoliopsida; Ranunculales; Papaveraceae
Exons: 2
Source: RefSeq, a predicted model, not a curated record